RNAcentral lists this transfer RNA (76 nucleotides) under Pseudomonas sp. WN033. RNAcentral describes it as "tRNA-Thr". It matches the Rfam family "tRNA". From Rfam's summary of the family: Transfer RNA (tRNA) molecules are approximately 80 nucleotides in length. Their secondary structure includes four short double-helical elements and three loops (D, anti-codon, and T loops). The record is from RNAcentral. Lineage: Bacteria; Pseudomonadati; Pseudomonadota; Gammaproteobacteria; Pseudomonadales; Pseudomonadaceae.
GCCGGAGUAGCUCAGUUGGUAGAGCACGUCAUUCGUAAUGAUGGGGUCGCAGGUUCGAUUCCUGUCUCCGGCACCA